This is an RNA transcript of Bactrocera neohumeralis, 4334 nucleotides long. It is a transcript of the gene named mitochondrial import inner membrane translocase subunit Tim17-B, with no coding region annotated. The transcript has 5 exons. The record is from RefSeq and is a predicted model, not a curated record. Lineage: Eukaryota; Metazoa; Arthropoda; Insecta; Diptera; Tephritidae.
UUGCUAGCAAUACAUAUUUUUAGCAAUCUAAAAUUGCCUGUCGAAAUGCUAUUUAUUGGUUCAUUUUAUAGUAGAUUAGAUUCCCAGUAGUGUUGUCACUGAUACAUAUGAUAUAUUAUGGAGGAAUAUGCUAGAGAACCAUGUCCCUUCAGAAUUGUUGAUGAUUGUGGAGGAGCUUUCGCAAUGGGUUGCAUAGGAGGUGGCAUAUUUCAAGCAAUAAAGGGUUUUCGAAAUGCUCCAUCUGGAUUCAAUAAGCGCAUGGUUGGAAGCUUAACUGCGAUCAAACUCCGCUCUCCAGUGAUUGCAGGAAAUUUUGCAGUUUGGGGAGGAAUGUUCAGCACUAUUGACUGCACAUUAGUGCAUUUUCGGAAAAAGGAAGAUCCAUGGAAUUCAAUUAUAAGUGGAUUUACAACAGGUGGAAUUUUAGCUGCAAGGAACGAUGUAUCGUUGAACAAAGCAUCGGAAUCUUAAAAACACGGUGGUGAUUUUAGGAUUUUAGGCAAGAGAGGAGGUAUCACCCCACAAAGGGGGAAGAUUUGCUAACGUUUGUGAGACAUUACAUAACAUCUGCAUAAAAUUUACAACAAGUUGCGACCCUCAAAAUUACGAUUCUUAUCACACACAAGAAAUGGACACUGGGGUAACGAACCGCUUCACCGCAAUCGACCAAACGAUAAGAGAUCAAAUAAAGUAUUCUUUAAUACAUUUAAUUAAAAAAUGUAUAUGUCCUUACCAUUGUAAAUAAUUUUAUUGUCAACUAAAAUACAAAAAUUUUGUUAAUAUAAAUAUUUUUUUUUUUUAUUUUUUAAUGAGAUAUUCCAUUCAUUGCUUUCUUGUUUAUGUCCUUUAUUACUAAAAAUUAUAAAACACUUAAAAUUUUAAAAAAUUUUGCUCACAUUUCCUUAAAUUUGGCUAUUACGAUUGGUAGUUCGCGUUCGAACGACGAUGCGAACGAACGGAUACGUUUAUAUACUCGUUCACGUAUGUCAUCAUGCCAGAUCACGAUAGAAGCGUUAUGAUCACGUACGUCAUAAUACGAAAUACAGGCUUUUACGUGACGAAUGUAACGAUUCGACCCCAGCACUCUGGCGUUUCGUUUCGGGAUCAUAUUGGAAGCACCACGUUUCGCCACCAGUCACAAUAUUGUAAAGGAAGUUUUUGUACUUUUUGACCUCUUUAAUGAUGUCCUUCGAAUGUUGGAUUCUGAGCAAUUUUUGGUCGUCAGUCAAUUUGUGCGGAACAAACCGAAAUGCAAUAAAUUGAUAUUUUGGAGAUGUUCAAUUCCAUUUCCAUGAAUUUCAAUCAUGAUUUCGGCUGAUUUUUGAUGAAGUCACACACAGUUUCGAUUGAGUUUCCGGUGAUCACGGAGUUUGAUUGUCCCACAUGUUGAUCGUUAUUCAUGUCCUCACGACCACUCUGAAAACGUGAACUCUGUUGCGGGAAAGGCAAUCAUCGCCAUAAACUUGUUUCAUCAAUUGAAACGUUUCGGUAGAAGUUUUACCAAUUUUAAAAUAAAAAGUUAAUGUUGGCUCUUCAAAUAACUGAAAAUUCAAAACAAAUCAAAACAAAAAUCAGCUGUUAGUACUUAAGCCUAACCUAAAUACGUAAAAUCGUUGAGUUGGUAGGAAGAGCAAAUCCACAGUCCAUGUGAAGAAAAGGUUCCAUGAGCCAGGAAAAGAUUCCAUGGUGAGUUCAGAUUGGUCAAUAGAAGCUAAGAAGAAAUAUUAUCAGUGUGCGAAGAGCGUUAUAUAAUAAAGGAAGUCGCAAAUGAUCCUUUUACUCAAAGUAGAAAAGAUGUCUGUUUCGAAAUACGUUGCACAAAUACGAUUACCAUGGUAGAGUUCCAAAAAAAAAACCUUACAUUAGCCUUCAGAAUAAAAACAAAAGGUUGAAAUACGCUAAGGAGUAUUUAUUAAAAUCAGAAGAUUUUUGAAAUAAGGUAGCUUCACAUUUUUUUUUAUUUCAAAAUACAUUUAUUUUGAUACUUUUCAAGUUAAGGUUUAUUCACUGAUGAAAGCAAAUUUAAUUUGCAUGAACCAGAUGGCAAAAUGUGUGUGUAGUGUAAACCAAAUGCCGAAUUUGUUUAUACAAAUGCAAAAGUCACAGUAAAGCACGGAGGGGCUCUGUUAUGGUUUGGGGCUGCAUGUCAAGUGCUGGAGUAGGCAAUUGCAUUCUAUUGAUUGUAAAAUGAACAAAUUGGCUAUCUUAAUGUUCUAAAAGAAAAUGUAAAGCAACGUGCGGAAAAGUUUGCUUUCUAUCAAGACAACGACCCAAAGAACACAUCGGGCGUUGGGAAGCUUUGGUUGAUACACAACUGCCCCAAACUAAUGCAAACACCAGCGCAGAGACCUGACCUCAAUGUAAUCGAGCAUUUGUGGGAGGAAUUAGUUAGAAGAGUAUCGGCAAAAGUUUAACACCUUAGAUCAGCUAAAGGAGGCUUUAUUGGAAUUCUGUAAAGCCAGAGGUUUGUCAAAUCUGUCCCAAAGCGCUUACAGGCUGUUCUAGAUAACAAGGGAUAGGCAACCAAGUACCAGGUUGUUAAAAUAUUUUUUUCGUUUGAUAAGAAAAAGAAUUCAAACUAUACUUUAUUAUUCAGUAUAAUCUCCCUGAACAUUAAUACACUUGCUCCAAUGAUACUGCAUUCUGUGGACCCCAUCCCUGAAGUGAUAAUGAUCAUUUCAUGAAAAACGCUUGCCACGCAUAAUUUUUUUGAGUUCUGGAAAUAAAAGGAAGUCGGUGGGAGCCAAAUCUGGUGGAUGCUCCAACAAUUCGAACUUUAAUUCAUGAAUUAUAUGCUGGUAUUGUCACUGGCGAAGCGAAUGCAUUGGCGAGUUGAAUAUUUUAGGCGAAAAUUCGCCAGGUUCAUAUUGUGACUGGCGAAUGAACAUAUUCGCUCAACUGUUUUGUUGCCAUACUAAAAUAAUUGAGAAAUGUCACACGAGUUCUACUGAAAUUGACAUAUUUGACGUAUUAUUGUUAUUGUUUUGGAAUUUUAUUAUCCUCUUAUUCGUUAUUGUGUGUUUUGAAAUUUUACCGUGAUUUUAAAAAAGUGAAUAAAAAUGUUUAACAACGUCGAUUUAUAUUUUGAAGACAGUUAUGUUGAAAGGACAACAGCGAAGCUACUUAGGCACCGACGGUUCAUCAGAGAUCACUCUAAUCCCAUGGAACUUUCUUCAUUGUUGUAAGUAUCUAUUGCUAUAAAAGUGCAUAAACAAAUAUCACGUCACAUAAGUUUUUAUUAACAGAUUUAAAGAAAACUUUCGGUUAAGUAGGGAUACAUUUAUGUAUGUGCUAGACAGCAUAAAGGAAAAAUGUCCGACUAACCUAUCGUCGUCAAUAUCGCCGAUGUUGAAAUUGUGCUGCGUUCUCAGAUUUUUGGCUCAUGGGAGCUAUCAGCAAACAGUGGGAAAUGAUUUCCAACUAUGUAGGUAUUGCACAGCCCAGUGUUUCGUUGAUUUUUAAGGAAAUGUUUUCAAUAUUGGAAUCCACUCUGUGCAGUGUCUGGAUCAAAACAGACAUAACUGAAGAGCAGAAACGAACAACAAGAAGGAAAUUUUUCACCAGAUCAGGAAUUCCAAAUGUGGUUGGUUGCGUUGAUGGAACCCAUGUUGCAAUUAUUGCUCCAUGUGAGAACAAGCACUUAUAUGUGAAUAGAAAAGGAUUUUACAGCAUAAAUGCGAUGAUUGUAAUUAACAACUAAAUAAAUAAAUUAUUACUUAUUAUUAUUUCGUCCUAAAAAAUUAAUUUGUAUCAGGCAUGCGAUCAGGAUAUGGUUAUACGGUGUGUUGAUGCAAGAUAUGGAGGAUCUAGCCACGACUCAUUUGUGUGGAACAAUAGCGCUUUAAAAACAUAUCUGGAGCAAACAUACCAAAGAGGAGAUCAUAAUUCGGUUUACUUAGGUGAUUCUGGUUAUCCACUACACGAGUAUCUAUGGACGCCUUUCCGAAACGCUUUACCAGGAACAGUGGAAUCAAAUUUUAAUAAAAAACAUGCAAAGGCAAGGAACGUAGUUGAACGGACAAUUGGAGUGCUGAAAUGCCGUUUUCGUUGUAUACUAGGUGAACGUAAACUACGAUAUCCUCCUAGUAAAGCAACUGUUAUUGUAAAUGUUUGUUGUGCUUUACACAAUAUUUGCAAACAAUAUAAUGUGAAUGAUCCUGAAGAAGAAACUUUUGUUGAUGUGGUAGUACCACUGGAACCAGUUGAAGGAAAUUUCAGUGGAACAGCAGCAGAUCAUCGCCGAAGACAAAUUGCGAAUGCAUUGUCAUAGUAUAGUUGCAUCCCUAAAAUAUAUGUAACAUAACUACAAUAAAAUAACUGAAAUUAAUUUUGAA